Ictidomys tridecemlineatus (thirteen-lined ground squirrel) is the source of this 2463-nucleotide non-coding RNA. NCBI's taxonomy places the organism in Eukaryota, Metazoa, Chordata, Mammalia, Rodentia, Sciuridae. The record is from RefSeq and is a predicted model, not a curated record.
UGGCUCAGUGGUCGAGUGCCCCUGAGUUCAAUCCCCAGUACCAAAAAAAAAAAAAAAAAGUCACAGAAAAUGUUUAUACAUAUGCUAAAAUACAUCUACUAUACUCAGGAGAUUUGGCUAACUUGAGAUGAGCUGGACUCCGAUGCUGGCCUCGAAGGCAGACCUGGCAUUGUGAGUCCUCUGUUGCUCUGAGCCUCUUUCCCAGAGGCCCUUUUCAAUAGAAACAGCACAAAAGACAGGGACUUGUCCCAGCUUGUCAGAACUACAGAGGACAGUGAACAAGGAGUUAUCAUUAUACCAAAAAUAAAAAUAAAAUAAUAAUAAUAAAAAAGGACAGAUCACACCCUAUCUCACUAACCUGGGCCACUAGAAAAGAAAGAGUGGGGCCUGUGUCAAGUCACCAGGACUGGGGUCAACCUCUACAUACUUUCUCCCCCAGCAGCCACCCACUUGUUUGCUUAUUCAGUCAUCUAUUCAGAAAAUACUGAUGCCUAUGAUGUUCUUGCCCUUUUCUAGGGUCUGGGAACAUGUGCAUGUGACGACCCUCAGUCUAGUGAAGCAGAGAGAUGGGGAACAGCAGGAGCGAUUGUGACAGAUGAUACACGAAGAACCCUCUGACAGCUUGUGGAAGCCCCAGUGGAAGCCAGCAGGCUGGAAGCGAGGGCUCAGGUUGGACUUGGACGGUGCCUUUGGUCUGGGCUGUGGAAAAGGAACCUGCUUGCUGGGGGAGGGAGAGGGCAGAACAUCUGAGACAAUGGGCUGAAGUGUGUGGCAUGGGGGUGGGGCACACACAUCUGGGUCUGAAACCCAACUCUUGGUUUUGUGGCCUUGAACAAGUCAUCCUUCCUCUCUGAGCCUAUUUCCUGUGGGUACUAAGAAGGAAGGUGAGUUUCACAGUCAAGAAAACAGGAUCCUAUGAGAGAUAAUGAGGCAGCACUGUAGUCACUCAUAGAUAUGAGUGGUCUUCAAGCAGAGGAAAGAGCACAGGGGCUGGGCGGGGGCCGCAGGUGGGCUGGGGAAAACCUAAGCAUCUGGUGGGAAGGAGGAAGGAGAGGUAGGAGUGGACAAAGAGUGGACAAAGGAGGCUGGUCCUCCCACAGCCUCUAUCUUUUCCCUCAAAGAAAGUGGAGCAGACAGAGGGGAGAGGAAGGAACAAACAAGGAAAUCUAUUUCCUUGACAUCCUUUACUUUCCUCUGAAAUGACAAAGGUUUACAUUUGGGGCUGACUUUAAUCUCUCCAUUCAAAAAAAGAAAAAGUAAAAACUAACAAAGUUUCUGUUUCAGCUGAUCUCCUCAAAACCCCUCCAGGGUACAGGGGCUUUCACAUCCUCCUAUGGUGGGAAGCUGUAGGUGGCUGGUUGGGGAGGGCACACCUGAAGUCUGGAGAAGGUGAGGAGAACUGACUCAAGCAAGCGAUCUCAGAGGUUCUGAGGCCAACCAAACCCAGUGGCCUCUCUGUUCACGCUUUCAAAAGUGGAUUCUUGGGCAGGGGAUUGAACUCAGGAACACUUCACCACUGAGGCUGGCUUUGAACUUGCAAUCCUCCUGAUUCCCUGGAAUUUUGAUAGAAAUUACAGAUCAAUUUGGGAAGAAAUGAUCUCUUUACUAUAUUUGUUAUUAAUAGGUAAUCUAAGCAGCUCUGACUAAGGCUCCAGUUAGUAGCAUCAGACAUAAGAUCUCAGCCUACUGCUCCUCUAAACCAUGUUGGAUCAUGUUGUUAGACAUGCUAAUAAAUCAGCCACCAUUCCUGCAGCACCAGACAUCAUUCUGGAUAAGAGGAAGGUAAAUUCAUUGCCUAUCAGGCACUUGAGGUGUCUCGGGCACUUCCUCCCCACUGAGCCUAGGUUUGAGGAGUAAAAUUUCCUGUGGCUUCACUGGGGCCUGUGAAUGGGCAGCAUGUAACAGUUCUAUCAAUCUCGCCAUUACGGCUCCCUCUCACAGUGAAUGGGUCAGGUUUGGGAACACAUCCAAAACUGGUCUAAAAGGACUUGAGUCCAGAAAUUCUGUGGGAACUUGAUGAUGCCCAUGUCGGAAGAUGAAAGAGACCUUUUCCCCUCAGGACAGGCCUGAGCAGCUGUAACAGAAGACCCAUCUUCGAAUUCAUUUAUAUUUUAUUUGUUGUGGUGCUGGGGAUCAAAUGCAGGGCAUGGCACAGGCUAGUCAAGCACUCUACAACUGCUGUCUAACCCUAGCCCACUACCUCAGAAUUUUAAGUUGGAGCCACUAACGAGAAUUUUCCCCUACCCCGCUCAAAUUAGGUAGAAGGAAUCCUGUCACUUGCCAACAGAAUCUCACCUAAUUCACAUUUGAGACAGGUGCCCAGGAAAAGUAAUCACUAAAUUGACUUGGCAGGCCACUCUUGAUGAGGUGCUGCUGACUACCCUAAAGUUCCACAGCAGAAAACAACCUGUUCUACACCCCCAGAUCAUCUUUGUCCCCCGCAUCCACGCCCUCAGCUUGACA